This 314-nucleotide long non-coding RNA is filed under the name Nicotiana benthamiana. RNAcentral describes it as "long non-coding RNA (NBEN_LNC040908)". Lineage: Eukaryota; Viridiplantae; Streptophyta; Magnoliopsida; Solanales; Solanaceae. The record is from RNAcentral.
UCCAUCAUCGCCUCUAGCAAAUCCUGGAUGACGUUGAAAUGAUCGUGAUUAGUAGUAUAAGAGUAGAGAUCCAUAGAUUCCUCUCAAUGAAAGUACCAACGUAACAAAUGGUCAAACUCCUCAGUAUAUUAAUAAGAACUGAAACACGAUUACAAUUUUGGGAUAGUAAUUGCAAAACUCAACUACUGAAUUACAAUAGAAAUACUGAAAUAACAAGCAACUAAGGAUAUAGAUAAGAAUAGUGAAGAGAAGCUUAGACUUAGAGAAUGGGGAUGAGAGGAUACAAAAACUCAAGAAGAAGAGGUGAGAAGAAU